GGUUUCCGUAGGUGAACCUGCGGAACGAUCAUU
Molecule: ribosomal RNA, 33 nt
Filed under: Zingiber officinale
Lineage: Eukaryota; Viridiplantae; Streptophyta; Magnoliopsida; Zingiberales; Zingiberaceae
Description: partial 18S ribosomal RNA
Source: RNAcentral